RNAcentral lists this non-coding RNA (99 nucleotides) under Anaerosporobacter mobilis. RNAcentral's name for it is "TPP sequence". It matches the Rfam family "TPP riboswitch aptamer (THI element)". Rfam says of the family: Vitamin B(1) in its active form thiamin pyrophosphate (TPP) is an essential coenzyme that is synthesised by coupling of pyrimidine and thiazole moieties in bacteria. The previously detected thiamin-regulatory element, thi box was extended, resulting in a new, highly conserved RNA secondary structure, the THI element, which is widely distributed in eubacteria and also occurs in some archaea. The record is from RNAcentral. RNAcentral also lists the same sequence under 1 other name. Lineage: Bacteria; Bacillati; Bacillota; Clostridia; Lachnospirales; Lachnospiraceae.
GCAUAAUGCUAGGGGAGCUCUUGUGGCUGAGAUGUAUUUAUACAACCCUCAUAACUUGAACUGGUUAAAACCAGCGUAAGGAAGCACAUGUUUGUACAU